ACGACCGGCAUCGCUGUCUGGCUGUUGCGGUUAAACCGUCCAUUCAUUUUCCAUGCGAUUUUGUCUGGGCGGGAUGGCAGGUAACUUGUUGGCUUGCUUGCGGUUCGCCGCUGGCUUUAGGUCUUCAGGUGUAAUUAGCUGACCGCAUCGGUUCUGUGCAGUAUGUCGGAGACGGCGGCUUGUGGUGUGUGCGUGCGUUCCAGUCGGUUGUCGUUUCCGGGUUUGGUCAUUAUGUUGCCUGUGUGUGCAGGCCUGGUGAUAUCUCGGGUGCGUUCGAUCGGCGGUUGCGUGCGUGUCACUAUAUCCAGGGCCAAUAGUCUGUGGUGUUGCGGUAGACUUUCCACCUGACCCGUCUUGAAACACGGACCAAGGAGAGUAACAUGUGCGCGAGUCAUUGGGCGUAACGAAACCCAAAGGCGAAGUGAAAGUGAAGGUCUGGCUUUGUCUGGACUGAGGUGAGAUCCUGUCGUUUCCCACGCGCGGUAUUACCAAGCAUCGAGCGGCAGGCGCAUCACCGGCCCGUCCCAUGGUGUGGUGACAUUCUUCGGAGUGUUCAUCACCGGGGCGGAGCAUGAGCGUACAUGUUGAGACCCGAAAGAUGGUGAACUAUGCUUGCGCAGGUUGAAGCCAGAGGAAACUCUGGUGGAGGACCGCAGCGAUUCUGACGUGC
RNAcentral lists this ribosomal RNA (670 nucleotides) under Pholeter gastrophilus. RNAcentral's name for it is "eukaryotic LSU rRNA". It matches the Rfam family "Eukaryotic large subunit ribosomal RNA", at positions 492 to 894 of the family's 3401-position model. The record is from RNAcentral. Lineage: Eukaryota; Metazoa; Platyhelminthes; Trematoda; Plagiorchiida; Troglotrematidae.